UUAUGGUGUAUUGUAUUAAAAUAUUUUAAUAUUUAAGUAAGGGCAAAUCUUCAAAAUAACACCUUUCUAAGUUUAUGUCACAAAAAUAGCACUCAAAAAUUAAAAUGACCAAAAUAGCAUUUUAUCUUUUGAAAAAUUUAAAUUUUUUUUAUUUUUCAAAAUUUAAAAUCUUAUCCCAAAACCCCACUCCCCAACUCUAAACCCUAAAACCUAAACCCUAAAACCUAAACCCUAAACCCUAAAUCCUAAACUCCACCCCUUAACUCUAAACCCUAAACCCACCCCUAAACUCUAAACCCUAAACCCUAAACCCUAAACCCUAAAUCCUAAACCCCACCCCUUAACUCUAAACCCUAAUGUCUAAAUUAAUUUACCAUUAGGGUAUAAGUGUAUAUUUAUCUCUUUUGAUAAAACAUUAAGUGUUAUUUUGGUCAUUUUUAUUCU
RNAcentral lists this long non-coding RNA (444 nucleotides) under Brassica napus (rape). RNAcentral's name for it is "long non-coding RNA (BNAP_LNC012878)". Lineage: Eukaryota; Viridiplantae; Streptophyta; Magnoliopsida; Brassicales; Brassicaceae. The record is from RNAcentral.